AGCAUGGCUUGACAAGUGGUGCCAUGUCCACACCUGGGAUCCGAACUGCUGAACCCGGAGCUGCUGAAGUGGAACGUGGGAACUUAACUGCUGUGCCACCGGGCCGACCCCAGUUGUAUAGAUUUGUAUAAUAAUGAGAAAAGCUUUCAGUAAUUCACCGUCAAGUAUGCUGUUUGCUCAAGACUCAUUGGAGAUGACCUCUAUCAGAAUUAGACAGGUCCCUUCGAUUCCUAGUUUGCUGGACUGGUGACGGAAAGGACUCAAAUUGAAGAUAUAUCUAGGGAGGUGCCUGUUGAUAACACUUCCAGUUUCAGACAACCCUGUGUGAUACCCUUUGGACCCUGAAUAUUGGGACUUCCUGUGCUGUGCUCAUAAGGCAUUAUGUAAGACACAUGAGGGCACAGAUCUUAGAAUGUGGCCGCGUGGAAGAGAACUGACUCCCGUGGAGGAGCGGAGGCAGCCGGUGCUCUCCGGCCAGUGCUCUCGGGCCGCUCAGCCUUCGGAGAAGGUGUAUUGAGGCUCACUGAUCAAGAGACCACUGCCACUGAAGAUCGUUUGUUACUCUCUUUUCCAGGAGGCCAGGGACAUCAUGCUGUGCCCAGGGAUGCACCAGAGUUGGCCAGGAGGCAGCAGGAGCAAGGGAGAAUGUGGGCACAAGCCUCAUCGUGUUCUGUGGGAAGGAGUGGGCGAGGCAGGGGGAGCAGACUUAGCAUCGCUGGUUUGGAUAAUUUCGGUGGUCCGGCUCUAAGGGCCGUCUUAAUGGUCUGCCUGCCCCGGGAUGCUUCAGGGCAGGAGAAUAGUGUCCCAAAGUGCAGGCGCCUGAUAGAAAGACGUGAGAGGGGUGUGGACUCAGGCUUCAUUGGUUUGCACAUCAAGGGCGUGAUCACAGACAAGUUGUUUGCUGCCUCUAGGAAUGAGCUCACUCUGAAAGGGCCAGUCCCUCCUCUGUCCGCAAGCCGCUAAAUGUCAAAGCAUCAUAAAAUACAGAACAUAAAAAACGUGAGUAAUACAAAUACUAUAGAGAUGUCACUCAGAGACUGUAGCUAUAUUAUUACUUGAACAAAAUUGAGAGCAUUUCCUCUCUGUCUGCAUCUGAAUUCCAUGAGAGCAAUGGCAAGUAAUCUUUUCCUGUACUUUUAUCUAGAAGGUUAAUUUCAUUUGUCUUUAGUUUGUAUCCCACAUUGAAUCAGAGCAAAAAAGAAUUUGAAAAGUGGACUUGAAACAGCAGGUGAAAUUCAGAUAGUGGUUUAUCACUGGAGUUGUUAAACAGGCUUUCAGUGUUUCCUACAGUUCAUGCAGCCAGUGGGUGUCACCCUCUGUUCUGAUGGCAGAGGACCAGCAGGUGCCCGAAAGCCCUGGAGUGCUCCUGGAGUGCGGUCUGACGGUGAAGGGAAGGGUGGAGGCGUUGCCCGACAGUUCCAAGGUCAUGGCUUGAAAUCACCAAACACAAGUUGGGUGCUUGAUUUCUCUAGAGGUUUCGGAUGUUUGGCUUAGAGCUUUGUCUCCCCACCUGUCCCGGUUUCGGAUGUUUGGCUUAGAGCUUUGUCUCCCCACCUGUCCCCGCUGGUGCUCGUGACUUCUGACCCUUGACCACCUGGACAUUCUUCAGGAACAUUUUACACCGCUGCACGGGAGGCGUGCUCUUGGAGCAGUGCUUGACAGAACGGAAGCCUGUGGCCGCGCCUGUUGAACUGCUUGCCAAGGACAUCUGUUGAGUUAUACCUAGUAAUUUUCAUUAUGUGAAAGAGCUGCAGUCACCCGCCCGGACGUGGCCGUGGAACAGGGGAGAAGAGGUGCAGCGAAUGGAAAGGAAGAGAAGGCGAGUGCGGCGCCUCCCCUGUAAGAAAUGCUCGGCAUCCUCUUGGUUCUCAGCCCAGGCGUCACAUCACCUACUCUGUGUAGUUUUGGAAAACACGGAGGCCUGGGCAUUCCUGAGACCCCCUAAUCUAGAACCCCAGGGCGGUGCCUGGAAACCUGUAGCUCGAGGACCUCCUCGGAGCUUCUGUGCGCAGGGUGAGGUCCACUCUGGCAGGUUCCUAAUUAGGAGUCAGGUCCCUGCUACCCCACAUUGCUGUCGCUUGAUGAGGCUGAGGGUCUGUGUUCCGCCAAAAGGGUGUAAGUUCCCUAGGCAAGGGGUCUCUUCGUCCUUUCCCUCACGUCUCCUCACCAUGCCUGCUCAGUUGAUGUGCUCAUUUGACCAAUGUUGAAAGGCUUCUGGCAAACCUCUUCUUGCUUCCUAGUGUCGAAGUUCUUUAAAGGGGGUUGGCUUUGACUGGGGCUGUCCAGUGUAACUUGCAGUUGCCCUUUCCCCCUCUCCCUGUGACUGCCUCUCAAGGGGGUAGAGUGGGCUAGACCAAGGGCUGGCUAAGGCCUGUCAGGUACCACGACCCCGGGGAGCAGAUGUAGCCCAGCCAGGGGCCAGGGUGGGAGUUUCAACCAGAGGACACAGGCCGGGCUUGUGACCUGAUGGCUGGGCUUGGACAGGAUCCCCCUCCAGGGUUUUAAGGCAGCCAGAAGCCACAAAGAUGGAGGAGCAGUCAAUGAUCGAAGUUAGAACUUACAUGUACCAAAAUUGGCUGUGAUGAUACACUGUCUUAGGAAUCAGACCUGUGUGUGUCCUCAGAUCAGGAUCCUAGGACGAGGAUCCUCUUACCUCCACUCAGUAGUGAAUCAGAUAUUUGGGUGUUAGGGAUGAAUUGUAUUCUAACUUCCAGAACAAGACAAGUUCUGGCUGAUGGCAGCAAAGUGUUAGUUUCUCUGUCCAGCUCCUGCCAUCUUCCCCUCAUCUCAGCCAGUCAAUACUAAUAUUAUUUCUCAGAGUUUCUCCUUUAAGGGCCUUUAAGUUCCAUCAAGUAUUGCAAGAACACCUACAGAAUAGAGAAUUUCUUCCCCAGAUUUCCCCUCAAGACCUAGUGGUAACUAAAAAACCACCAAGUGGCAAAAGUGGGAUUUUUAUUUCUGAAAUAAAUCCUCUGGCAGUAUUAGGAACUGGGUAACAAUAGGGGAUGGGUCGUGAGCUUUCCUCCCUUAACUUUACAGAGACCUGAGAAAGGAGGUGCUGGGAAGCACGAAGUGAGGGGACGCUCUUGUGGCACGUCAAGGCAGGAGCAGACUCUCUGUGGGGGUGUGGAGAGAACUGUGAGACUGUCUGUUGAGAUGAGUGGGGAACGGGGAUGCAGUCUUUGAUGAGUCCUUGGCUAAUAAUAUGACUUUAAAAUAUGACUUUCUCAAGCUUUUGAACUCUAGUGUUUGUCAGCUCUGAAGGUGACAGCGAGGUGUUAGUGCAGGACAGCAGACCUAUCUGACAUGUUGACAUGCCUUUCUCUUCACUCACAGUUCAACAGUCAAGCUACUCAUUUUUUUAAGGCUCUGUGUUUGCAAAGCACUUUGUAAGACCUGGUGGUGGAAACACUAACGAGUUUAUGACUGGUUUCUUAAAUUCUUGCCAUCUAGUUGGGAUAUAAGACAUGCCCAUAAAACAUGAUUACGGUGUGAGGUAGAAUGUUAAUUGUCAGUGGAAUGUACAAGAAAUGAGUUUACUAGGUAUUCCGUGCUGAGAUGGGACCUCAUCCGACCCUGAGCGAGGACAAGAAUGAAGCUUAUCAAUUAUUAUGUCUGGUUUGUCCUGAUGACCGAAGAAGAUGCUUGUGUUCAAGAUACAGUGUUACUCUAACUUGACACUUACAUUCUAAGAUGCAGUAAGCAUGGUUUAUAUUUCGAAAUAAGUUUCAAUAGAAGAAAAAAGGAAGAUGCUUCAUGCUGGCCUUUCAAGGAGGAUUGGACUGAACUCAGUUUUGUACUGACAUUGCGCUCGUGACUGUUAAUGUCCAUUUUCAUGGUGUGAAUACAGGCAAGCCUGCACUGUGCUGCAGUGUGCAGAUAGUGCAUGUUUUACAAAUUGAAGGCGAGACCCGCCCCCACCAGCGAAAAGAUACUGACUCGCUAAAGGCUUGGAAGAUGGUUAGCAUUUUUUAGCAAUAAAGUAUUUUUUAACUAAGGUAUGUACAUUUUUUUAAACAUCAUGCUCUUUCACAACUAAUAAACUACAGUAUAGUGUAAACAUAACUUUUAGAUGCACUGGGAAACCAAAAAAUUGGUGUGACUCCCUUUGUCGCAGUACUGGCUUUAUUGCGGUGGUCUGGAACCACACCCACAGUAUCUCUGAGGGGCACCUGCAUUACAAUAAUGGUGUUCAGAACAGCCAGCUGAGAUGGAACUCUUCAGCCUUUGACACUGAAAGGUUGAAAAUAAGACUUAAAAUAGUUUGCAUAUUCUGAAUGGAAAACUAUUUAAAAGAUGUUAAGUAUGGCUUUACUUUUAAAAUAUAAUUUUCAUCCUAAUAUUCAAGUAUUAGAAGAUAUACCAAUGACACACGGACAUAGCCACACGCAAAUGAUCAAUUCCAUCAUGCAAAUCAGAUAUGCAUUCUACCAGAAAAUGUGUGUAUAUUUUUAAAGGAGAGUAUGCUUAUUUUAUUUGCAGAUAAGGUUUCUGCAUAUCUGUAAGUCUAUUUUAUUUAUUUACUUUUUUAAAGGUUUUAUUUUUCAUUUUUCUUCCCAAAGCCCCCUGGUAUGCAGUUGUGUAUUUUCAGUUGUGGGUCCUUCUAGUUG
Non-coding RNA from Equus caballus (horse), 4610 nucleotides. Lineage: Eukaryota; Metazoa; Chordata; Mammalia; Perissodactyla; Equidae. The record is from RefSeq and is a predicted model, not a curated record.